GUUGCCAAUAAAGAGUUUAAUUCACAAGAACCAUAACUACUGCCUGCCCCUAUUGUAUUCUCACAUCUUGAAAGAGAACCAACCACAUCAUCUCCCGGAACAAUGUUAAUGUGUGUGUGGAGUGAAAGACAUUUCAAGUACUGAACCACCAGACAGACAAGGGAAGACAAACCUUGACAUAUUUACACAUAAUGGACCAGCAAACAAAUUUAAACUAAUUCAAGCCUUCAGGAAUACAUUCAUAAAAUACCAAGGACUCGGUACUGGACUGGUCAAAUUAAAGCUGCUUGACAUUCACUUGUCUUUUUACCAGCACACUAUAAUCUGAAGAAACAAAACCUACAAUGACCGUUUACUUGAUAUUCAUGCGGCCAAACUUACAUUGACAAAUGUAAUGGACAGUAAAGACAAGUGAACCUGUUUAAGCCAAACCUAGCUAUAUUGACACAUUCACACCAUACUGAAUCAGAAGAUUCGAAACCUACUUGGUGAAACCAAACCUACCUGACUGGUUCACCCAAUACCGAAUUCACAGGAAAGAUUACCAAACAAGUGAUACCUACAAGUACACCCUGUAUACAUGCAUAGGUAAAUAUUUGCCCCCGUUUUAUUUUCGCCCCUUUCGCCCUCGUUGUCAGCAGGUGAUUUUAAGAAUGGGCAAAAUUCAAUGUCUUGGAUUAUUUCUUUUUAAACAUAACCUCGUCUGGGCGAAUUCAAGAUGCGGUGAAACCAUUUGCAAGUGAAGCCGGGGGAAAAUAAGACAGGGCAAUAUUUACACAGGGCUAAAAAUAACCCUGUAUACAGUAUUCAGUAAGAACUUCAUUUAGUUUUAACAAUUAAAUUUGCUAUUUUAAGGACAACUGUACAUAUUUUUUAUUCACUUUCAUAUUUUUUGGAUACAAAAAUAUUACUGAAAAAGUUAUCUAGCAAACAUAAAAGGGCAAAUAAAAUUUGGGGCAACAAAAAUAUGCAAAGGUGUCUGAAAAAAGCAACCAACGAUUGCUAUCUCUACAGAUGAAUAGGCUUGAUCAGUACAUUUGGUUUUCUCAAUCCUAAUGCCUGGAGCAGUUCAUGAGAAUCGGAUGAUAUUGCUGGCACAUGCAUUCACAUGCUAAUGUAAGUAGAUAUGCCAAUAAGGUGUUAGACCAUUAUGGUGCCUGCAUUCAGUUCAGAUAUUUCCUUGUUCUAUGAUGUUGAUCAAAUGCAUUGAAGGCUUUAUAUACCACCUUCAGCCACAGACUGGUUGUUCAGAGCGGCACUUGUCUCAAACAACAGUAAAAUCAUUGUACUUAUAUUGACUGACAGUUGCGAUGGCAUGUCAAACCUGCAGCUUUUUCUCUAUUUGAGAGCCAUAAAACAAGAUUUGAUAGAUAAAUCUUUAAAAAGGUCUCACUUUCUCUAGUAACAAUCUAUAUGUGAAUGAUGAUGGUGACUGUUGCCAGCUGUGACACUUUCAUCAUUUGAUUUAGUUUAAAAUGUAUCACUGUUCCUGGGCAAAAGUUGCAGCGUUUGCUGGCAUUUUGAAUUGGUUAACAGAUUUUUGAGACCCUUUGACUGAAGGAGACAAUUUACAGAAACAGUCAAAUUCAAAAUGAUACACUUCAACUUCUGCCCAGGAAGGUUCUAAAAUGCAACCUUAUGUAAGACUUUAGUAUUUUGUUAUAGAUGUUUUGAACGAUUUGUUAUGAUUGUCUCUGCAAACCAUGGGAACUGAUGCACUACACUAUAAAUGUAGUUCAUUUUCUGAGAUCUGGUUAGUAAACAGGCAUUUCUAGAACCAGACUGAACUCAAACUUCAUACAAAAUAGAUGUAGAGCAGAUCUUCUAUAAUUAGCUGAUGCUACUAUAAAACCAAUAAGGUCUAAAACUGUCUCCUGAUUCAGAGACUUGUCUGCUCGGAGUUUAUUUCACCGAUUUCAACCUGCAUAUAUUUAAUACGAGACUAAGGAGCAUGCAAUGAUUUUCAUCGUUGGAAUGAAAUCAAUUAAGCGAUACAAGGGUCUCAUCACUUCCGCCCAGUGGUCUGUAUACCCUAUUGUUAGUACUUGACACUCCGUGGUUGACCCGAGUUUGGUGGCCCCAAUACCUGUACAGAGUCAUUGAGUUGCCAGACAGUCUGUAAUGUCACACCUGAUUAACACCAGACAGACAGCGCAGCAUGUCGCUUUGUAAUCCAUCAUCCAUGCAAUUAUCUACCGCAGGACCGAACUCGCUCAGGUAGAACCAAAAAAAACACCUGACGUAAUUUCUAUUACAUUUAUUAUUUAUUGUAUACUGAUGUUUUCAAUGUGUGACACAUUUCAAAUUCCUUUGAGAAGUGUUGCAGAAAUAUGAUUUCAAUUCUUAAUGUGAACAUCUUAGAAUUUCAGAUACACAUCAAUUUUUUUUUCUAAUUUAUCUAUCCAUGUUUCAAAGGAGCAAAGAUUUCUUUGAAGUAAUAAAGUGAAUAACUAGAGUGAAUGAAAAUACCUUUGUCAAUCAUUCAUAUUUUGUCUGUUUUUUAAAGUAAACCAUUUGCUAAAAACUAAAAUAUUUACACAUUUUUUUUUUGGAAAAACUUUUCACAGCCCUCUAAGAAUAGUGUACAUGUACUUUUAAUAACAAGGGUAGUUAUUAUUGUUUGUUUUAAUGAAAUGCUUAGUGUCAUAAAUUUAUUUAAUUGAACUAUACUGUACACAAGUUUAACAGCUAGUGAAGAACGCUGUUAUUCCAUUUGAAUCAAAAUGAAUUUAGCUUGAGCGCAGUAACAAGAGGAACAAGAGGAACAACUCUGGAAGAAUAAAGAAAAGUCCUAAAUUGAAUUAAUGAAAUUAGUUUAAACUACAAAUGUCAUAAGACAGUAAAUGAAAUCUAUUAUUAGUUUAAUUUCCAGCAAACCUAACCAAUCAUGUUAUCCAUACAAAUAAAAUGAAUUUUUCAAUUACCAUUUUUCUCUCAAGAAGCACCGAGGGUUGGCCAGUGAUUUACGAUAUUCUUCAUUUUAGGUGGUCAUUUAUAUUAUAUACUGUCAGACAGGAAACUUAAGUGAAGGGGCCGAGAUUUAAAUGACUUCUUAAUUGCUUUGCUCUUCAUUUUAUGAAUGAAAUCCUGAAGGAUCUGAAUACUUAAGCAUUAAUAUCAUUUUACAAUCCAGUAUUGUGGACAAUAAUGUCUCUAAUUGCAGGAGAAAUGAUUCAACAUGGUGUGAAGUUCUCACGGAAGCUUAAUUACUCAAGGUGGUUACAUAAUGAAAUAAAACUUGCACCAAAAAAAAAUACAAGUCUAUUAACGAGGCUCAAAAUGCAUAAUAUGGAAUAUUAAUCCCAAAACCGCUCAUAAGCAGACACCUGAAGUAUUUGAUAAAGAGAGAGAUACCAUUUAGUAAUUUCCCACACACACCAGCCCGUCCUGUGGUGAAUGAAGACGUGAGACAGUUGUGUGUCAGUUGCAGGGCUCGGGCUAUCCAUCAGGAGAUACCCCACUGCUCUAUAAGCUUCACCAUCUCCAAAAACAUCCUCUAUCAAACACUUGCUAUCAGCAACAUCACCGACUUUGAUGUAACCUAGAUCUAUGUUCAAACUUUUUAAAGAAGAAAACCUUUUACUGGAGUGAACUUUAGAUGACACAAUACCUUAAGGAGGAAUAUGGGACACAUUGAGAUAUUAAAGUAUUAACAUGGAUAUAAAAAGUACAGCAUUUUAAAGAUAAAAUCACCAUAAAUGUUCAAAAUUUGCAAUACUUAGCCAGAUAUAGAUUUAUAUAUUUUUAAAAAAUUUUAAAUAUAAAAAUUUCAACCCCCUGAUUUCCAGAUAAAAAAAAAGAAGUGAUCAACUCCUUUUAUUGUCUUUUUCAAAUAUAUAUACAUAACAAAACUCCAAAUCAAUGCAACCCUUGGUAAAUUUAAUUAACUUGAAUAAGAAAACUUCUCCUACUGAUAGUUUGACAUAUUGUUAUAUAAAUAUCCCCUUUUACAGUGGCAUUUUUAUAAUCAUAUGAAGUUCCAAAGAAAUAAUACAUUCCCUCUUGUUCCACACUGACUCCUACCCAAAGCUAUCAUUUUAAGGUCAAAGGGCAACCAAGGAGGAAAAUGCAUUUCAACGUGAAAGUCACAGAACCUCUAGAAUAUUAGCACAUCACCGCUACGAAAAAAACCAUGGUGAAGAAAAAACAAAAUGCCCAUGGGCCACAUUGCUCACUUGAGCAAUAACAUCCAUAAUAAAAUCAGCUGUAUAGAAUCAUAAACAGAAUAUUUGUACAAUAUAGUAAAACAGAUCCAGUAUAAUUUUUUUUUGGACAUAUUUAUGUAAAACAAUAAGCUCCUUUUACAGUAGGAUGAUUUCAAAGUCAUGUCACAAACUGAGCAUUGCAGAUCUAAAGAAUAUUUUAAACAUAAAAAGUUUAACCUAUAUCAAACAUUGGGGCCUAUAAAUUGUCCAGUGUUCACAGUCCAAGCAAUUAAGAAUAAUAUGUCAAGAUAAUUGCAUACAUAUAUAAUAUUAUAUUUUAGAACAUUCAAGUUUUUUAAAACAAUUUGCAACAUUUUUAAAUGUAAAAUUAGACCCCCACCAAGUGGCCCCACUCUACCCCCGAAGAACAAACCUGAAUCUACACUACCUAAUUUUGCUUUCACUAAGUAACAAUUUUUGGCUGAUUUCUUUAUGAUAAGAAGAUUUAAAAAACAUAAUUUUCUAUAUUAUUCCAAUGUAAAAAUUUGACUCCCAACUGUGGCCAAACCCUAUCUCAAGGAAUCAUAAUAUAAACAAACUUGAAUCUACCUUAAUUAAGGAUGUGUUCACACAAGUAACAGCUUUUAUGGCCAAUUGGAUUUUAGGGUGGAAUAUCCCUCUGAUAAAAAAGACAACUUCUGUAGAAAAUAAUCUCACUUCGUUUCUGUUAACUCACAAUUAUUAAGGCAUGUAGCAACAAGGGAGGCGGUGCUGGGCCCCAAUUUAUAUUGGAAGGCGACAUUUAUUUAUAUUUAAAUAUAGAAAAAGAAAAUUUGAACAGAAUGAACUGAAUAUCAGCUUUUAGCAGGGGUAAAAGGAAAGAAAACUUUUACAAAAAAACUGCAAGAAGCGAAUCAUAUUGAUCAGAUUUUUAUGAGGCAAUAUCUGCAUAAAUAUCCCUCCCCUUUCCCCAAAUGGAUUAAUUUUUAUGAAAAAAAUAAAACUAAAUUUUAUGUACUAGUUUGAAACAUAACAUUUCAAAUGUUUAAAAUUGAAUAAGGGUUUUCUAUUCUGAGAGAGCAGUUAUGGGACAACAAAAAUUGAAAAAAACCCACCAAUAUCACAUUUUCUUCAAGACAAUAUAUCCCUAUAUUGAGAACAUAUCAAUAACUGGAAGAUCAUCAUUUGAUCCCCUUUUUGUGUUUUAAUAAAAUGUUCUGUUUUACAUUUGUAGCAUUUCUGAAACAUAUGGAUCCUUUUACUAUUAUCCUAUCCAAAUUUAAAAACAGAAAACCUUUUCUGAAAAAUUAGAAACUGUGGCAAUUUAUUAUGUACUGUAUGUAAAACAUGUACGUUAAAUAAUAAAGAAAGAUAACUCUUGCUGAUUGAAGCAAUUUUUGUCACAAACCUAAACAACAAAGUGCUAUUCUGAACUAAAAAGCAGUGCUUCAUUAUGUUUUGUAAUAUGAAUUGGCAAUGUAUAUAACUAUAUAUUUUUUUCAUAUACAGUUAAUAUUUUUAAUUUUAUGCUGUGAUGGUAAAAUUUUGCUUUUUUUGAACAAACUUGAAUCUACUCAAUCUGAGGAUGCUUCAACACAAAUAAUGAGUUUUUUAGCCAAAUGGUUUUUGAGAAGAAGAUUUUGAAUUUUUUUUCUUUAAAAAUUCCACCACCCUUCCAAUUGUGACCAACCCUGUCCCUGCAGAUCAUGAUUUGAACAAACUUGAAUCUGCACAUCUGAGGAUGCUUCCUCAAAAGUUUCAGCUGUUCUGGCAGAAUGGUUUUUGAGACGAAGAUUUUUGAAAAAUAACAACAAAUUUUCAAUAACUCCUUACCAUCUCCCCUUAAAAGAGGGCAUUGCGCUUAAUUUUAAUAAAUUUGAAUCUCCUUCACCCAUGCAAUGAUACUUUGUGCUAAGUUUGGUUGAAAUUGUCCAAGUGGUUCUGGAGAAGAAGUCCAAAAUGUAAAAAGUUUACAGACAAAACUCACUGGCGCUUUCAACUCAGGUGAGCUAAAAACUUCAAAUAAUAAACAUUAAGAACCAAUCAUUAAGAUUUCCAGUUGUUUACUGCAAAUUAACAAGUGCUUUUGCACCCAGUGCCACAUGGACAUUAAAUGACUGUUGAACUUCCCUAUAAUGUCCUUGGUAUCUCAUCAAUAAUAUAUACUACUGAAAUAAACUCCAACGGCUGCCAUCUGCAGUCAGACUGUUAAAGGAAAGGAGAAGUUUGUCUCCAGAUUACACCUGUAACGGUUAUAAUUAGAUUAUUCUAAUCACAUUGCUUUGCACUUUGUUCAGUACAGUCAUCUGCAUCCAGGUCUUUAAUGCUUGAAAAAGAUUAAUUAGAGAAAAUAUGAAGCACCUUCUGAUACAGCAUUAGAGACCCUCCCCCAGUUACCAAUCAAAGGUGAAAAUAAAAGAGUGAUGAUCCAACCAAACCUUACCAUUUAUUCAUGAUUUUCAUCAAUUUUGCACAUUAAUUUGAUGCAUUUACUGUUUUUUACCAUAGGAAACUACAAAGUGCAUGUCAGUAUGGGGCAUCAGCAUUUUGCUAAUUAUGAUCUAAAUGUAGGACAUUGUUUCAGUGGAAUCUAUAUACAGCUUUCAAAAGAUGAAGGCGGUUUGAAUAAAUAUAGAGAUGGAAUACUUUAACACUGACAGCUAUAGUCAUAUUGAUGAUUAAUGUUUGUCUGACCUUCAUAGCUGUAUUAUACCCUUUUAUAUACGAACUGCAGGUGUUUAAGUUGCAGCAUCGCAAAAAGAGGGGUCAAAUGCCAAUGCCAUAUCAAUUAGUCUUCUUUGCUGGAUUAUAAAGUAUCAAUAUUAUCAUAAAGUAUUCAAUUAAGCCUUUCCCUUAAGCAUUUCCUAGAUCAACUGAGUAGGAUGUUUUUAUCAUAAGAUGAUAUGCCUAUGCCAACAAUGACAGGCAGACUUCUCAAUUCAUUUGGAAUGUAUCAUGUAAUUAGCAUCAAGACAAACCCUAAUGACACAAAUAGAUGUGAACCGGGAAGACACAGAGCCAGCUGACAGAGGGAGCCGAUGUCAUCCAUGCAUGGCAUUACAUUUCCAAUAGGAUCCCACAUUCUGAUGGCCAAAGUAAUCUUCAUGCUUACCAUGUAGACAUGCAAUGCAACUACUCCCACUGUUUUCUGGGAUUACACCAAUCACCUUUGGCAUUAUUCACCUGGAGAAGGUCUUUUACUUCCCCCAAACUUGAGCUGUAUGCCAUCAAUAUUGCUUGCACCUGA
Magallana angulata is the source of this 7392-nucleotide long non-coding RNA. RefSeq lists it as uncharacterized. Lineage: Eukaryota; Metazoa; Mollusca; Bivalvia; Ostreida; Ostreidae. The record is from RefSeq and is a predicted model, not a curated record. The transcript is spliced from 5 exons.